CCCUUAGAUGUUCUGGGCUGCACGCGCGCUACACUGAUGAAUUCAACGAGCUCCUAACCUAGGCCGAAGGGUCCGGGUAAUCUUUGAAAUUUCAUCGUGAUGGGGAUAGAUUAUUGCAAUUAUUAAUCUUCAACGAGGAAUUCCUAGUAAGCGCGAGUCAUCAGCUCGCGUUGAUUACGUCCCUGCCCUUUGUACACACCGCCCGUCGCUCCUACCGAUUGAAUGGUCCGGUGAAAUGUUCGGACCGCGACAAGGCGGACGGUUCGCUGUCAGCUUUGCUGCGGGAAGUUCAUUAAACCUUAUCAUUUAGAGGAAGGAGAAGUCGUANCA
RNAcentral lists this ribosomal RNA (330 nucleotides) under uncultured eukaryote. Its description in RNAcentral is "partial 18S ribosomal RNA". It matches the Rfam family "Eukaryotic small subunit ribosomal RNA", at positions 1470 to 1796 of the family's 1831-position model. The record is from RNAcentral.